Molecule: ribosomal RNA, 467 nt
Filed under: uncultured bacterium
Lineage: Bacteria
Description: partial 16S ribosomal RNA
Rfam family: Bacterial small subunit ribosomal RNA
Source: RNAcentral
GAUGAACGCUGGCGGCGUGCUUAACACAUGCAAGUCGAACGGUGAAGCAGAGCUUGCUCUGUGGAUCAGUGGCGAACGGGUGAGUAACACGUGAGCAACCUGCCCCUGACUCUGGGAUAAGCGCUGGAAACGGCGUCUAAUACUGGAUAUGAGCUGCGACCUCAUGGUCAGCAGUUGGAAAGAUUUUUCGGUCUGGGAUGGGCUCACGGCCUAUCAGCUUGUUGGUGAGGUAAUGGCUCACCAAGGCGUGGACGGGUAGCCGGCCUGAGAGGGUGACCGGCCACACUGGGACUGAGAGACGGCCCAGACUCCUACGGGAGGCAGCAGUGGGGAAUAUUGCACAAUGGGCGAAAGCCUGAUGCAGCAACGCCGCGUGAGGGAUGACGGCCUUCGGGUUGUAAACCUCUUUUAGCAGGGAAGAAGCGAAAGUGACGGUACCUGAAGAAAAAGCGCCGGCUAACUACGUG